RNAcentral lists this ribosomal RNA (460 nucleotides) under uncultured bacterium. RNAcentral's name for it is "partial 16S ribosomal RNA". It matches the Rfam family "Bacterial small subunit ribosomal RNA", at positions 338 to 795 of the family's 1533-position model. The record is from RNAcentral.
CCUACGGGAGGCAGCAGUGAGGAAUAUUGGUCAAUGGACGAGAGUCUGAACCAGCCAAGUAGCGUGAAGGAUGCGUGCCCUAUGGGUUGUAAACUUCUUUUAUAUGGGAAUAAAAUGUUCCACGUGUGGGAUUUUGUAUGUACCAUAUGAAUAAGGAUCGGCUAACUCCGUGCCAGCAGCCGCAGUAAUACGGAGGAUCCGAGCGUUAUCCGGAUUUAUUGGGUUUAAAGGGAGCGUAGGUGGAUUGUUAAGUCAGUUGUGAAAGUUUGCGGCUCAACCGUAAAAUUGCAGUUGAAACUGGCAGUCUUGAGUACAGUAGAGGUGGGCGGAAUUCGUGGUGUAGCGGUGAAAUGCUUAGAUAUCACGAAGAACUCCGAUUGCGAAGGCAGUUCACUGGACUGCAACUGACACUGAGGCUCGAAAGUGUGGGUAUCAAACAGGAUUAGAUACCCCUGUAGUC